Molecule: ribosomal RNA, 253 nt
Filed under: uncultured bacterium
Lineage: Bacteria
Description: partial 16S ribosomal RNA
Rfam family: Archaeal small subunit ribosomal RNA
Source: RNAcentral
UACCAGCACCCCGAGUGGUCGGGACGAUUAUUGGGCCUAAAGCAUCCGUAGCCGGUUCUGCAAGUCCCCCGUUAAAUCCAGCUGCUCAAUAGAUGGGCCGCGGAGGAUACUACAGAGCUAGGAGGCAGGAGAGGCAAGCGGUACUCAGUGGGUAGGGGUAAAAUCCGUUGAUCCAUUGAAGACCACCAGUGGCGAAGGCGGCUUGCCAGAAUGCGCUCGACGGUGAGGGAUGAAAGCUGGGGGAGCAAACCGG